This 468-nucleotide ribosomal RNA is filed under the name uncultured bacterium. RNAcentral's name for it is "partial 16S ribosomal RNA". It matches the Rfam family "Bacterial small subunit ribosomal RNA", at positions 28 to 507 of the family's 1533-position model. The record is from RNAcentral.
GACGAACGCUGGCGGCGUGCUUAACACAUGCAAGUCGAACGGAAAGGCCCUGCUUUUGUGGGGUGCUCGAGUGGCGAACGGGUGAGUAACACGUGAGUAACCUGCCCUUGACUUUGGGAUAACUUCAGGAAACUGGGGCUAAUACCGGAUAGGAGCUCCUGCUGCAUGGUGGGGGUUGGAAAGUUUCGGCGGUUGGGGAUGGACUCGCGGCUUAUCAGCUUGUUGGUGGGGUAGUGGCUUACCAAGGCUUUGACGGGUAGCCGGCCUGAGAGGGUGACCGGCCACAUUGGGACUGAGAUACGGCCCGGACUCGUACGGGAGGCAGCAGUGGGGAAUAUUGCACAAUGGGCGGAAGCCGUAUGCAGCAACGCCGCGUGCGGGAUGACGGCCUUCUGGUUGUAAACCGCUUUCGCCUGUGACGAAGCGUUAGUGACGGUAAUGGGUAAAGAAGCACCGGCUAACUACGUG